GGGUCAGUAGGUUGGUCGUGCCACCGGUACGUACUGGUCUCACUGAUUCCUCCUUCCUGAAGAACCGUAGUGCCAUUAAUUUGGUGUUGCCGGGAAACAGGACUGUUACUUUGAAAAAAUUAGAGUGUUUAAAGCAAGCUAACGCUUGAAUACAUUAGCAUGGAAUAAUGAAAUAGGACGAUCGAUCCUAUUUUGUUGGUUUCUAGGAUUGACGUA
RNAcentral lists this ribosomal RNA (216 nucleotides) under Glomeromycotina sp. RNAcentral's name for it is "partial small subunit ribosomal RNA". The stretch from base 40 to 216 matches the Rfam family "Eukaryotic small subunit ribosomal RNA", at positions 686 to 864 of the family's 1831-position model. The record is from RNAcentral. Lineage: Eukaryota; Fungi; Glomeromycota.